RNAcentral lists this ribosomal RNA (926 nucleotides) under uncultured Bacteroidota bacterium. RNAcentral's name for it is "bacterial SSU rRNA". It matches the Rfam family "Bacterial small subunit ribosomal RNA", at positions 1 to 917 of the family's 1533-position model. The record is from RNAcentral. Lineage: Bacteria; Pseudomonadati; Bacteroidota.
UGGAUCCAGACUUUGAUUAUGGCUCAGGAUGAACGCUAGCUACAGGCUUAACACAUGCAAGUCGAGGGGAAACGACAUCGAAAGCUUGCUUUUGAUGGGCGUCGACCGGCGCACGGGUGAGUAACGCGUAUCCAACCUGCCCACCACUUGGGGAUAACCUUGCGAAAGUAAGACUAAUACCCAAUGAUAUCUCUAGAAGACAUCUGAAGGAGAUUAAAGAUUUAUCGGUGAUGGAUGGGGAUGCGUCUGAUUAGCUUGUUGGCGGGGUAACGGCCCACCAAGGCUACGAUCAGUAGGGGUUCUGAGAGGAAGGUCCCCCACAUUGGAACUGAGACACGGUCCAAACUCCUACGGGAGGCAGCAGUGAGGAAUAUUGGUCAAUGGACGAGAGUCUGAACCAGCCAAGCAGCGUGCAGGAUGACGGCCCUAUGGGUUGUAAACUGCUUUUAUAAGGGAAUAAAGUGAGUCUCGUGAGGCUUUUUGCAUGUACCUUAUGAAUAAGGACCGGCUAAUUCCGUGCCAGCAGCCGCGGUAAUACGGAAGGUCCGGGCGUUAUCCGGAUUUAUUGGGUUUAAGGGGAGCGUAGGCCGGAGAUUAAGCGUGUUGUGAAAUGUAGACGCUCAACGUCUGCACUGCAGCGCGAACUGGUUUCCUUGAGUACGCACAAAGUGGGCGGAAUUCGUGGUGUAGCGGUGAAAUGCUUAGAUAUCACGAAGAACUCCGAUUGCGAAGGCAGCUCACUGGAGCGCAACUGACGCUGAAGCUCGAAAGUGCGGGUAUCGAACAGGAUUAGAUACCCUGGUAGUCCGCACGGUAAACGAUGGAUGCCCGCUGUUGGUCUGAAUAGGUCAGCGGCCAAGCGAAAGCAUUAAGCAUCCCACCUGGGGAGUACGUCGGCAACGGUGCAACUCAAAUGAAUUGACGGA